UAAAACUGUAAAAACAUAUACUCAUUCAAAAAUAUUUGUAUUAUAAAAUUCCUGGUACAUCUGCAAGUAAUAAAAACCAUUCUGUUACAACUUUAGAUAUCUCUACAUAGGAAUGAAACAUGUACAUUUCACUAUUACUGGUACUUUGGCACCAGCGAUAAACCAGUAAAAAUGAUAAAUGAUUGCAAACUUCAAGCAACCACAUAAAUAAUGCUUAAGCUAAAGAAGCUAAGAAUCUUUGUAGCUUUGGAGCAGCAGCUUUGCCUUGUUGAUAUUGGGACCUUAUCGGCAAUUGUCUUGAUAAUGCUUUCUUGAUGUCCUAGCACAUCUACACCUGUUGAGCCAAAUUAACAGCAAAGCCUAAUAAGCAUUUUCACAUAUGUAGGAUCAAUCAUGGGCAAUCAGUUACAAAAUUUAACUACAGCCAAGCACUAGCACCUUAUAACUUGAGGUUAAACCAAUAAAACUUAAAACGGACCACAUAUAAAUUAUGUAAAUAUACAAAGGUUGUCCAUGUGAUAAAAUCUUGAUGAUAAAAAAAAAAAAUCAUGUUAACUUUACUGAGGAUAGAAGAAUUAGAAAAGUAAUAAACACAAACCUCUCUGAUGCUUUAAAAGGAUUGUGGAGGCCAUGUUUCUGCCACUAUGAGAAACUCUUCCCAUAGCCCUUGUAACAACCAAAAAGUUGAAACACUUCGUUACAAUUGUCUGAUUCUUAGUUAAAUGAAUUUGAACAUAAAGAAACUCUUCACAUAGCCCUUGUAACUACCAAAAAGUUGAAAUACUUCGUUAAAAUUGUCUGAUUCUUAGUUAAAUGAAUUUGAACAUAAACUUUAAGAAACAAGUUUACUUAUAGACUCUUAAUAAUCAAUAAGCAUACCUGAAUGUUACUCACUUACUCGGAUAUCAUCCUAGCAACCGUCACCAAGGAUUCACAUGCAUUUAGAUCAUAGACCAAUACUGAACGCUGAAAUAACCACGAACAACCAUAAAUCAGUGUAAUGGCUAAAGUAAAAGUAAUGUUCAUACAAAAAAGUUAAACAUUUCACAAGGAUAACCAAAUUUCAGAGGUAAGGAAUUUAAAUUACAAUACUUAAAACAGAAUCACAAACCAGGAUUUGUAAGCAAAAUUUUAUCUAUCGUCUUGCAAUUUUUCUUUAAGUAAUAACAACAAGAUCACGAGUAAAAGUUGAAGUUUAAGCUAAAUACAAUUAUACAGGUAUGACAACUAUUGAGAUACAGAACAAUAUCAGUUCCUUCAAUAUUCUGAGUGUAUAAAACCUAUAACUGAGUUGUGCUGAUAUAUAUAUUGGGACUUGUUAAGACAAAUUAAAAUUAGAAUCUUAUAACUGAGUCUGUGCUGACCUAAAUGAAGAAAUUAAACAGUCAAAUUGAAUUUAUGAUAUGUGGGACUUGAGUAACUACUGAUUUUGUUCCCGACACAAAUUUCUAUUCGGCAAACGAUUCACUGGGGAAAAAAAGCCUAAAAUAUAAAUAGAGCAUUUACCUGUCAAUUUUUAUGGGAUUUCGAUCGAAUAGGACUAAAUUAGAAUAAUUCAAUCUGACCCAGAAUCUAAAAUCAAAUCCAGAUAACAGAUAAGCGCAAAAUCAAAAGCUGAAAUGCAGAGUGAGAAAGAUCUUUGAAUCAUUAUGGUUAAUAGGAGAGUAAUAAAGAUCGAGAAGUGAAGCAGGGAUACCAUAUGCCCAAGCAGAGAGGCAAAGAUCUGAAGAUGGACUCUCUCAAGCUCGGCGUAGCGGGAGGAGAUCUGGGCUUGGUGAUGUACGUAUGUCUUCCAUGGGUAGCGGCUAGGUUUAGUUUGAAGGUAAAGGGAAUUUGGGUGAGAGACAAGGGCACUCGGCAACAAAACUGAGUUGUAAUUUUGUUAACUUUUGUGUAUUCUCAGUUGGUUUUUUAGUUUUUCACACACUAUUCUAAUAUUCUAAUCCUACAUUGAAUAAUUUUAAAUCUGAAGCUAGCCACAUUCAUCUAUAAUUGUGGUCAUACAAGAUGAAAAAUAAUAAACAAUUGCCUUCCCCACCAUCUUAAGCAUUAGUGGGACUAAAGUCACUGUUGAUAGAAAAUUACUCACGAAUGUUUAAACUGUGGGCAACCAAAGUGUGGCUGUUGCUCCUUGUUGUUGUAGUGCAUAAUUAAAGAACAACGAAAAAGCAUAGUUCACAUAACAUAUUCUUGUCCUAUCGAUCUCAUGGGACAAAGACUUAGGAAACUUAAGGGGGAGGUACAUACUUGUGAGCAAAUUAGAAAUUACAUAGUAGCAUAUGACCAAAUUUAAAAACACAAAAAACUUACUUUCAACAAUUUUUAUACAAAUUAGGACACAAUGCAAGCACAGACCCAAAACCAACAGUAUCAGGCCCGACCCAGAUUCUGUCCAUGAAAUGACCAAAAUGACCUCACUUUCACAUCCAAAUUACGCGCAUGCCACUC
RNAcentral lists this long non-coding RNA (2448 nucleotides) under Fragaria vesca (wild strawberry). Its description in RNAcentral is "long non-coding RNA (FVES_LNC000779)". The record is from RNAcentral. Lineage: Eukaryota; Viridiplantae; Streptophyta; Magnoliopsida; Rosales; Rosaceae.